RNAcentral lists this ribosomal RNA (253 nucleotides) under uncultured bacterium. RNAcentral's name for it is "partial 16S ribosomal RNA". It matches the Rfam family "Bacterial small subunit ribosomal RNA", at positions 524 to 776 of the family's 1533-position model. The record is from RNAcentral.
UACGUAGGGUGCAAGCGUUGUCCGGAAUUAUUGGGCGUAAAGAGCUUGUAGGCGGUCCGUCACGUCGGCUGUGAAAUCCCGAGGCUCAACCUCGGGUCUGCAGUCGAUACGGGCAAACUAGAGUAUUGCAGGGGAGACUGGAAUUCCUGGUGUAGCGGUGAAAUGCGCAGAUAUCAGGAGGAACACCGGUGGCGAAGGCGGUUCUCUGGGCAUUACCUGACGCUGAGGAGCGAAAGUGUGGGGAGCGAACAGG